GGACUACCGGGGUAUCUAAUCCUGUUUGCUCCCCUAGCUUUCGUGCAUCAGCGUCAGUUAUGGUCCAGUGAGCCGCUUUCGCCACAGGUGUUCCUCCUGAUAUCUACGCAUUUCACCGCUACACCAGGAAUUCCACUCACCUCUCCCAUACUCAAGCCCGGCAGUUUCCGAUGCAGACUAUGAGUUGAGCCCAUAGAUUUCACAUCAGACUUACCAAACCGCCUACGCACCCUUUACGCCCAAUAAUUCCGAACAACGCUCGCCCCCCUCGUAUUACCGCGGCUGCUGGCAC
This 292-nucleotide ribosomal RNA is filed under the name uncultured Acidobacteriota bacterium. Its description in RNAcentral is "uncultured Acidobacteria bacterium partial 16S ribosomal RNA". Lineage: Bacteria; Pseudomonadati; Acidobacteriota. The record is from RNAcentral.